Long non-coding RNA from Schistocerca nitens (vagrant locust), 1141 nucleotides. RefSeq lists it as uncharacterized. The transcript is spliced from 3 exons. The record is from RefSeq and is a predicted model, not a curated record. NCBI's taxonomy places the organism in Eukaryota, Metazoa, Arthropoda, Insecta, Orthoptera, Acrididae.
AGGUAUCAAAGUAGGAAGGCAUGUGCUGAUGCUGAACCGAGGCAGGCACGGGCGUGGUCGGAUGCUGAGGAGGUUGACCUGUGAAUGGAGCAGUUCUGGCCACCUGGCAGGUAUCCAUAUGAUACUGCACGGAUUGCGGUGUGGCAAAUCAUUGUCCUGGCGGUGGUAGGUUGUCCAACAAAGCAUUUGCAGAAAUCGGCAUUGGUCCCGCACUGCACGGAGAUCCGUAAGAGGCUCGAAAACGCCCGGCAAAAUCGGCGUAAUCGUCGAGUGAGAGGCAUCUUGUUGCAGUCCUGGUUGGUGUACAUCGCCCGCAACACGAUGCAUGUCGAUCACAAAAUCCGGUGUUAUGCUCUGGGCCGAAGUCAUUGUUCAAAUGCUGUGUCGAUGUAAUUCAUGUGAAAAUAACCGACACAGAGGUCGCGGACUCAGUAAAACGGCGAAAACGGAAGACGUUACAACUCAGGGUCACCAGUUAGGGAGACGUUCAGGUGAUGUCACCCACCAUCAUCUCCUUUGCUUGAAUUCUUGCUUAAAGUCCAUACCAGAUGUCUCUUCUUUUCCUACAAAUUGACAAUAUCAUUAGUGUCAAAUAAAAUCCAGGACAUAAAAGAUACAAUGUGCAUAACAAAACAGUAAAUGUCCAGUGAAUACAUAAGAUAAUACAUGUAUUAGUAAUUGGAAAUGUAUUCAACAUCAAUAUCAGAUAUGUAUAUUACUAAAUAUGUACAAACAUAAGUAUAUUAUGAGCAUAAUGAGCUCAAUGUCAUAAUCAAGCAAAUUUAUUUUUGUUUAAAUUCUUUUUCAUUGGUAUCAGUGUAGUCUAGUUAGCUUACAUUAUUACUCAUUGUAUGAGUUACGAAUACAUUUAUGCUAACUGUGAAUGGUACAUGUGUCAAAAAUUGGCAGUGUGAGUUAAGAUGUUACAUUACUCAAGAGAGGUAAACAUAUUCUCUACAAGACACCAUAAGCUUGUGCAAAAUUGUAUGACAAUUGAAAUCAUUAUAUAAGAUUGCACCUUUGUAAUACAUAGGUGCCCUCAUCACAGUGCUGGAAUGGAUUCUUGAGUGCUACAUAAUCCUACAAAUGGAAACUAGGUACUAAUAUGUACAGAAAACUAAAGCAAGCUGUAAUAUAAUUC